AGUGAACGCUGGCGGUAGGCCUAACACAUGCAAGUCGAACGGCAGCACAGUAAUUGCUUGCUCUUACGGGUUGCGAGUGGCGGACGUUUGAGGUAUACAUCGUAAUCUACUUUUUCGUGUGUGUUAACGUAGGGAAACUUACUCUAAUACCGCAUACCACCUACGUUUGUAAGCAGGGGAUCUUCUGACCUUGCGCGAUUGAAUGAGCCGAUGUCGGAUUUGCUAGUUGGCGGGGUAAAGGCCCACCAAGGCGACGAUCCGUAGCUGGUCUGAGAGGAUGAUCAGCCAAACUGGAAGUGAGACAGGGACAAGAAGACGAAGGGAGGAAGCAGAGGGGAAUAUUGGACAAUGGGGGGAAGCAUGAUACAGCCAUACCGAGUGGGUGAAGAAGGCCUGCGGGUUGGAAAGCCCUUUUGUUGGGAAAGAAAAGCAGCAGGUUAAUACCCCGCUGUUCUGACGGUACCAAAAGAAUAAGCACCGGCUAACUUCGUG
This 492-nucleotide ribosomal RNA is filed under the name uncultured bacterium. RNAcentral's name for it is "partial 16S ribosomal RNA". It matches the Rfam family "Bacterial small subunit ribosomal RNA", at positions 29 to 507 of the family's 1533-position model. The record is from RNAcentral.